AGCGCGCAGUUUACUGCGAGCGGCAGACGGGUGAGUAACGCGUGGGAAUCUACCUUAAGCUACGGGAUAACAGAGAGAAAUUUCUGCUAAUACCGUAUGUGCCCUUUUGGGGAAAGAUUUAUCGGCUUAAGAUGAGCCCCGCGUUGGAUUAGCUAGUUGGUGAGGUAAAGGCUCACCAAGGCGACGAUCCAUAGCUGGUCUGAGAGGAUGAUCAGCCACACUGGGACUGAGACACGGCCCAG
This 242-nucleotide ribosomal RNA is filed under the name uncultured bacterium. RNAcentral's name for it is "partial 16S ribosomal RNA". It matches the Rfam family "Bacterial small subunit ribosomal RNA", at positions 65 to 334 of the family's 1533-position model. The record is from RNAcentral.